CGAUCUGGCUCAGAACGAACGUUAGCGGCGCGCUAACACAUGCAAGUCGAGCGAGGAAAGGGCAACCCCGGUAAAGCGGCGCGACGGGUGAGUAACACGUAGGUAAUCUACCCCCAGGUGGUGGAUAACUUCCGAAAGGAAAGCUAAUACAGCAUGGGACCACGACUCCGAAAGGGGUUGAGGUGAAAGUCGGCCUCUUCACGAAAGCCGACGCCAGGGGAUGAGCCUGCGGCCCAUCAGCUAGUUGGUAGGGUAAUGGCCUACCAAGGCGAAGACGGGUAGCUGGUCUGAGAGGAUGAUCAGCCACACUGGAACUGAGACACGGUCCAGACUCCUACGGGAGGCAGCAGGUGGGGAAUCUUGCGCAAUGGACGAAAGUCUGACGCAGCGACGCCGCGUGAGUGAUGAAGGCCCCCUCGGGUUGUAAAGCUCUGUGGAGGGGGACGAAUAAGCAUUGGUUAAUAUCCAGUGUGAUGACGGUACCCUUUUAGCAAGCACCGGCUAACUCUGUGCCAGCAGCAGC
RNAcentral lists this ribosomal RNA (523 nucleotides) under uncultured bacterium. RNAcentral describes it as "bacterial SSU rRNA". It matches the Rfam family "Bacterial small subunit ribosomal RNA", at positions 14 to 518 of the family's 1533-position model. The record is from RNAcentral.